UAGGGAAUCUUCGGCAAUGGGGGCAACCCUGACCGAGCAACGCCGCGUGAGUGAAGAAGGUUUUCGGAUCGUAAAGCUCUGUUGUAAGUCAAGAACGGGUGUGAGAGUGGAAAGUUCACACUGUGACGGUAGCUUACCAGAAAGGGACGGCUAACUACGUGCCAGCAGCCGCGGUAAUACGUAGGUCCCGAGCGUUGUCCGGAUUUAUUGGGCGUAAAGCGAGCGCAGGCGGUUUGAUAAGUCUGAAGUUAAAGGCUGUGGCUCAACCAUAGUUCGCUUUGGAAACUGUCAAACUUGAGUGCAGAAGGGGAGAGUGGACUUCCAUGUGUAUCUGGGAAAUGCGUAGAUAUAUGGAGGAACACCGGUGGCGAAAGCGGCUCUCUGGUCUGUAACUGACGCUGAGGCUCGAAAGCGUGGGGAGCGAACAGG
This 429-nucleotide ribosomal RNA is filed under the name bacterium. Its description in RNAcentral is "partial 16S ribosomal RNA". It matches the Rfam family "Bacterial small subunit ribosomal RNA", at positions 355 to 776 of the family's 1533-position model. The record is from RNAcentral.